This 301-nucleotide ribosomal RNA is filed under the name uncultured bacterium. Its description in RNAcentral is "partial 16S ribosomal RNA". It matches the Rfam family "Bacterial small subunit ribosomal RNA", at positions 509 to 809 of the family's 1533-position model. The record is from RNAcentral.
CAGCAGCCGCGGUAAUACGAAGGUCCCGAGCGUUGUUCGGAAUCACUGGGCGUAAAGGGAGCGUAGGCGGCGUGGUAAGUCAGAUGUGAAAUCCCGGGGCUCAACCCCGGAACUGCAUCCGAUACUGCCAUGCUAGAGGAUUGGAGAGGUAGCUGGAAUUCUUGGUGUAGCAGUGAAAUGCGUGGAGAUCAAGAGGAACACUCGUGGCGAAAGCGAGCUACUGGACAAUAACUGACGCUGAGGCUCGAAGGCCAGGGUAGCGAAAGGGAUUAGAUACCCCGGUAGUCCCUGUCUCUUAUAA